CGAGUCUUUGUAGUAAUACAAGGCAGACGGCUCAGUAACACGUAGUCAACCUACCCUAUGGACGAGAAUAAUCUCGGGAAACUGAGCGUAAUUCUUGAUAGAUCAUAAUGCCUGGAAUGGUUUAUGGUUAAAAUGAUUCGUCGCCAUAGGAUGGGACUGCGGCCUAUCAGCUUGUUGGUGAGGUAAUGGCCCACCAAGGCGAUUACAGGUACGGGCUCUGAGAGGAGAAGCCCGGAGAUGGGUACUGAGACACGGACCCAGGCCCUAUGGGGCGCAGCAGGCGAGAAAACUUUGCAAUGUGCGAAAGCACGACAAGGUUAAUCCGAGUGAUUUCUGCUAAAGAAAUCUUUUGUCAGUCGUAAAACCACUGGCGAAUAAGGGGUGGGCAAGUUCUGGUGUCAGCCGCCGCGGUAAAACCAGCACCUCAAGUGGUCAGGAUGAUUAUUGGGCCUAAAGCAUCCGUAGCCGGCUUUGUAAAUUUUCGGUUAAAUCCAUGUGCUCAACGCAUGGGCUGCCGAAAAUACUGCAUGGCUAGGGAGUGGGAGAGGUAGACGGUACUCAGUA
Molecule: ribosomal RNA, 564 nt
Filed under: uncultured archaeon
Lineage: Archaea
Description: bacterial SSU rRNA
Rfam family: Archaeal small subunit ribosomal RNA
Source: RNAcentral